GGAAAGCAUCAAACAAUAUGGCAAUGCAGUCACUAAAGGGAAGCAGCGAUACACAUUUGAGUGCACUGUCCAAACAUUUGCAUUCAACUAAUGGUGAUAUUAGCUGGCAUACAUCCGAGAAGCAUGAGGAAAGGAUGAGGGAGAGCUUGCUGUUACCAUCACUGCUGGUUCCUGAGAGAAAAAGAACACGAAAUAUUGGGUCUAAAAGUAAGAGGCUUUUAAUUGAUAGCCUAGAUUCUCUGGAGCUCAAACUCACAUGGGAAGAGGCACAGGAUUUGCUCCGUCCACCACCAAGUGUCAAGCCUAGCAUUGUCACUAUUGAGGAUCAUGAUUUUGAAGAAUAUGAAGAACCUCCAGUUUUUGGGAAGAGAACUAUCUUUGUAGUUCGUUCAAUUGGGGGACAAGAGCAANNNNNNNNNNNUGUAAGUGGCGAAGGUUGCCGGUUGAUGUUCUUCUUCCUCCUAAGUGGACUUGUGUGGACAAUGCUUGGGAUCAAAGCAGGUGUUCAUGUUCGGCUCCUGAUGAAUUGAGCCCAAGGGAAUUGGAACAUCUUCUCAGACUCAAUAAGGAGUUCAAGAAACGAAGAAUGUUAAGUAUCCAUAGGCCAGCCCAGGAACACAAGUCUUCUGGCCUGGAUGCUUUAGCUAAUGCUGCAAUCC
RNAcentral lists this unclassified non-coding RNA (659 nucleotides) under Hevea brasiliensis (rubber tree). The record is from RNAcentral. Lineage: Eukaryota; Viridiplantae; Streptophyta; Magnoliopsida; Malpighiales; Euphorbiaceae.